UACGAGGGGAGCAAGCGUUGUUCGGAUUUACUGGGCGUAAAGGGCUCGUAGGUGGCCAACUAAGUCAGACGUGAAAUCCCUCGGCUUAACCGGGGAACUGCGUCUGAUACUGGAUGGCUUGAGUUCGGGAGAGGGAUGCGGAAUUCCAGGUGUAGCGGUGAAAUGCGUAGAUAUCUGGAGGAACACCGGUGGCGAAGGCGGCAUCCUGGACCGAUACUGACGCUGAGGAGCGAAAGCCAGGGGAGCAAACGGG
RNAcentral lists this ribosomal RNA (253 nucleotides) under uncultured bacterium. RNAcentral describes it as "partial 16S ribosomal RNA". It matches the Rfam family "Bacterial small subunit ribosomal RNA", at positions 524 to 776 of the family's 1533-position model. The record is from RNAcentral.